Non-coding RNA from Phalacrocorax carbo (great cormorant), 3383 nucleotides. The record is from RefSeq and is a predicted model, not a curated record. NCBI's taxonomy places the organism in Eukaryota, Metazoa, Chordata, Aves, Suliformes, Phalacrocoracidae.
CCUGCCGGCCCCCCCCGGGACCCGCCGGGACCGAUCGCCCCCUGCCGGCCCCCGCUCCCGCGCUGCCGGGACCAGCCCCGCACGGCGCAGCGCCCCGCGCCCUCUCCGCGCCUGAGGCCCAGCCGCCGCCGUCCCGCGCCCGGGGAGGCCCCCGUUUUGCUGGGAGCCGAGGCGUGGUGCUCCGGCUCCCGGGGCGACCCCCGAGGGCUGCUCGGUCCCUGGGCUGAUGCAGGAACGGAGAGACACCACUUAACAUGACGUAGGUGAGGACCCCAAUGCUCCAGAUGUCUGUGCUCAAGGAGACAGGAAGGCCUUGGAUAACUUCAGGAGCUGCAAAUUCCGGGUUUCCGAGGAGGUGGUGGACAUGGUAAUGACCUGUGAUCUGAACUGCAUCUUCCAAAUCAAUGAUCUUGACACGAGCUGAGCCAGGAUCAUCAUGACAAGCAUCUUUCUGUCAGAGCACAGCCAGAUGUAGCCUUCCCAGGAGCACAUGUAGGCUCUUCUACAUGUGCUGAGGAAGGGCUCAGGAAGACUGCAGGAGUUACCACCUCUGCCCGUGAGAUGAGAAAAAGCCCAAUGAUAUGGGUAUUGCAAGACGGUGAGGGCUUGUUCUGCUCGACUCCCGUUACUACCACAGUGACAGAGACAUCUGGUUUCACAAGGUACCAUGAUGAACCUGACCAGAACUGCAGAAGCAUUGACCAGUGGCUACAAACAACCUCUAAAAACCUGCAGAUACAGGAAGCUCUAGUGACAACUGAACAAGCCUGUGCACGGCUGGGAAAGUAAAUGGAAGCUACAGCUUCUUGAACUCUGAUGAAGCAUCACAGAUAACAGCCACAGCACUAAGGCUGAGGAGGGUGCACAUGCUUUCUCUUUGCUUGGGUGAUAAUGCUCAAGCCAUUAAUUCUUCCCAGAGGUGGUUUGUGCCCCCCUGCCCCAGCUCCAGACCCACAUCACACAGCACCUGUAGCCACCACGCACCUGGGGCAUCUCACCAGCACUCUGGCCACUAACGAGCUUUGGGGAGAUGUCUUUUAACUUCUGCUCAGCUUCAGGAGAAAAAGCAAAGCACUAAAUCAGAAAUACUGCGUUCUUUUUGGCUACUGGCAAGUGUCAGUCCUGCAGCAACUCGUGGACCUUCACAACAACUAAAAUUUUACUCAUUUCAUUGGACUACUGAAAACUUGAAAGUAGUUUUGGAUAACUCUCAGUUAUCUAACUAGUUCGAUAACUCUCAAUUUAUCUAGCUAGUUAAUUGAUCAAGUUAGCAAAUCUUGAAAAGCUACUGUCUCUCCAUGGCCUAUAUAUGCCAAGUACCUCACGCAACCUGGAAGCAAAGUUGAGAAAAGCAAAGACAAUGCCACUAAAUUCUUACACACAGCAUCAACCCUAACUACAUAGUGGUGUACAACAGUAUAGAGGUUUUAGCCUCAUUAACUAGUUUAAUAAUCUCAUAAGGCCUUGUUAUCCAAAAUCAAACUAAAACUUUUAUAUCAAGCACCAUAAACACCAGUGUGGUUUAUCUUACCUUAAAUAUCUUUGUUACUAUCUGUUUCUAUGCCAAUGAAGCAGUGACCUAAUUUGUGGCUUGCCAAAGCUGAUGGGAUGUAUUGCAGAGCCUCAGAAACCAGGCCACAAUGCAGAAGCAGUAACCCUUCAAAAUAACAUAGCUACGUCUCCAAGAUUUAUAUUUAUAUUUUGGCUUUAUAAAUAGUUUUCCAAGGUGAACGGCUCAGGGUGCCAUUCGAGGAGGCACUUGAGCAUAUUCAGGUUCAUUUCAGUUUCAUAGCCCUUCUUCAUAGCCCUGGGCAAACCUCUGGUACCAGUACUGAGACCUCAGGGUCUGCUUUCCCCUGUCACCACCAGAAAGCUCAAAUGAACCAGGCAUAACAUGGACUCACCACUCAGAAAGGUUCAUUUUUUUUCCCCAUAGAAACAUACCUUACAUCAACAAAUACCUUGCCAUCUGAGACUGAGACUAUCCUUUGCCCUAGCAAUAGGCAGAAUUCGAUCCUUUGGGACACAUCUACAGCGAACACAACGUUCACAGUACCGGCUCAAACAACUGGUCAAUGCCACUGCUUUACACUCUGCACUCCACAAACGAGUAGGGGCUGCUGCUUGUCGGCAGAGCAGGUUUCAGCCCCUACCAUGUAGCCAGUCAGUCUUAAAGGUCUGUAUCUGGUGGGCAAAAGUGUGAUGGUUUGGACUCUCACAUGAUCCUAAGAGCACUGAGAAUUCAAAUGUUUCAUUCCCAGCAUCCUGGAAGGAGCCAACCUCUGACUACAUCCCUGGAGAGGACUCUUUGAGCACUAUUAUUAUAAUUAGGGCUUCUUAUAUUUUAAAGCCAUGUUGGGGGCACCUCUAAGGUGGGGAGGGUGCAGGACAGCAUGCCACCCCCAUGAUGGCAUGGCUUGGCUUGGCAGGCAGGAACCUGAGCAGGUAAGAGAGCCAGACAGAUCUUCCUCCUCCUGGCUGCACCUCCUGGCCGCACCUCCUGGCCUUGGUUUCACUUGCAAAGCCCGAAGCCCCAUCUGAAGGGUACAGCUGGGGCACCAACGCCAGGAUGUGGACCUCUGGCCAGCCACCCUGAGAGCCUCUGAGAGGGUCCAGGACCUACAUAUGGCCCCCUGGAUCCCCUGGGCAGGAAGAAAUUGGGGCGCAAGAGGGCACUGGAUGAAGAAGAACAUCUCUCCCACCUGUGCAUGUGGAAAAGGAGAGAUGGAGCUUCAUGAUUAAGUUGUAUUACUCACACAGCACAGCAAAGGAAAAAAAUCUGUUCUGUGGAUAACCACUGCUUGUCACUUUUCACUCAGUGAGACCAUCUUAUCAGCUAAGUAACCCCAGGCAUCAGCUCAUUUGCACAUACAUUGUCAUUUUUCUAGCUUUUGUCUUAACUGGAAUACAACUCUAUCCUCUCAAGCUCUCCCCUUUCUUCCCUGCAGCAUGCACUAAAUUCCGUUUUUAUUCACUGAUUUCCAUCCUUGUAGGAUUAGAGACUGGGAGAAAGAAUGCUCUUAACACUUUGUAUUAAUGUUAUAACUCUAAAGGAUUCAUUAGAAGAUGCAGCUCCAAUGUUGAAUGUAAGAGAUAUAUCUAUAAAUAAAUAAUGCUACAUUUCUAAAUGACUUCCAAGGCACAAUAAUUUAUAAUAAUUGCCUUACCAAUGUUUUUUUCCCCUGGCUCACCAUGGGAAUAUCAGAAAGAAAAUUACCUCUGCUAGAUAAUAUUGGAAGACUCUAUGAGUAAAAUUUACAUUUCUUUUGCUAAAACUUAAUCUGUUAAUUAAUAAAAUGUUACCUAACAACACCCCCCAGCCAUGUUGCAGCUUUAGCCUGCUGUAAGCUUAGACAAAAAUAAAAGCCUAUUUGCAAAGGAAU